AUUGAACGCUGGCGGCAGGCCUAACACAUGCAAGUCGAACGGUAACAGGAAGAAGCUUGCUUCUUUGCUGACGAGUGGCGGACGGGUGAGUAAUGUCUGGGAAACUGCUGGAUGGAGGGGGAUAACUACUGGAAACGGUAGCUAAUACCGCAUAACGUCUCAAGACCAAAGAGGGGUACCUUCGGGCCUCUUUCCAUCGGAUGUUCCCAGAUGGGAUUAGCUAGUAGGUGGGGUAACGUCUCACCUAGGCGACGAUCCCUAGCUGGUCUGAGAGGAUGACCGGCGACACUGGAACGGAGACACGGUCCAGACUCCUACGGGAGGCAGCAGUGGGGAAUAUUGCGCAAUGGGCGCAAGCCUGAUGCAGCCAUGCCGCGUGUAUGACGAAGGCCUUCGGGUUGUAAAGUACUUUCAGCGGGGAGGAAGGGAGUACAGUUGAUACCUUUACUGAUUGACGUUACCCGCAGAAGAAGCACCGGCUAACUACGUG
RNAcentral lists this ribosomal RNA (490 nucleotides) under uncultured bacterium. Its description in RNAcentral is "partial 16S ribosomal RNA". It matches the Rfam family "Bacterial small subunit ribosomal RNA", at positions 30 to 507 of the family's 1533-position model. The record is from RNAcentral.